This 440-nucleotide ribosomal RNA is filed under the name uncultured bacterium. RNAcentral's name for it is "bacterial SSU rRNA". It matches the Rfam family "Bacterial small subunit ribosomal RNA", at positions 338 to 795 of the family's 1533-position model. The record is from RNAcentral.
CCUACGGGAGGCUGCAGUGGGGAAUAUUGCACAAUGGGGGCAACCCUGAUGCAGCAACGCCGCGUGAGCGAAGAAGGCCUUCGGGUCGUAAAGCUCUGUCCUAAGGGAAGAAAAUUGACGGUACCUUAGGAGGAAGCCCCGGGUAACUACGUGCCAGCAGCCGCGGUAAUACGUAGGGGGCGUGCGUUGUCCGGAAUCACUGGACGUAAAGGGCGCGUAGGCGGCCGAUUAAGCCAGGGGUGACAGGCUUCUGUUAAACCGUAGUAAGCCCUUGGAACUGAUUCGCUUGAGUGCAGGUGAGGAGAGUAGUAUUUCGAGUGUAGCGGUGAAAUGCGUAGAUAUUAGGAGGAACACCAGUUGAGAAGGCUAGUCUCUGGACUGUAACUGACGGUGAGGCACGAAAGCGUGGGGAGCAAACAGGAUUAGAUACCCUUGUAGUC